AAAAAUAGUUGUAAACAUUUCUUCAUCUGUACUCCCGUUUUCUUACUGCUAGGGAUAUUAAAUCAACGAACUCGCGUUAAAUGUCUUCGGGUGCGGAAUGCCAGAGAAAAAUAGAAUCGACCAUCUUAUAUUUCUGCCUGACGAUAACGUAAUAGAAGAAAUGGGAAAUCGUGGGGUAAUUAAUCCAUGAAGGACUUGGUCCAGAGAAGCCUGAAAGCCAUCUGAAAUGCGGGAUUCACUAAUGGAAGAAAUCAUUCGGAGACUAACCGUUACCAUCCAAGAAGAUUUCAUUAGGCGUUAUUUGCA
Molecule: long non-coding RNA, 306 nt
Organism: Armigeres subalbatus
Lineage: Eukaryota; Metazoa; Arthropoda; Insecta; Diptera; Culicidae
Exons: 3
Source: RefSeq, a predicted model, not a curated record